This 400-nucleotide long non-coding RNA is filed under the name Ananas comosus (pineapple). RNAcentral describes it as "long non-coding RNA (ACOM_LNC013790)". The record is from RNAcentral. Lineage: Eukaryota; Viridiplantae; Streptophyta; Magnoliopsida; Poales; Bromeliaceae.
GAACCCUCCAAUCAAUCAUAUUUCAACCAGUCAAAACCUAUUGUUCGUAGAGUUGAGUACCAGUAUACGGGUUCCAGUACUAGUACGCCAAUCAUUUCGUACUUGAUUCCGUCCUUCGACGGCUAUGAUUUCUUGCGCCCUUUUUAUCUCAUCUAGGUCAUUAAUUAGGACAAUAAUAGCUGUCGUCAUUUCACCAUCGUAGCCUAUUUCGAAAUUCCCUCCGACUGCUUCGUCUUUCUCAUGCCCUAUCGUCUUCUCAUAUUUUACUUUUCUUCAUUCUCAGGAUCUUCUUCUUCGAUCCCUCUUCUUCUUCCUCAAAAUUUUCUUUAUUGGCUUCUUUUCUCAGGAUCCUUUCUCUUCUAAUGGCUCAGAUUCCUCCUCUUCUUUCAUCUUGUGAAGC